This 61-nucleotide transfer RNA is filed under the name Campylobacter coli. RNAcentral describes it as "tRNA-Asp". It matches the Rfam family "tRNA", at positions 7 to 64 of the family's 71-position model. Rfam says of the family: Transfer RNA (tRNA) molecules are approximately 80 nucleotides in length. Their secondary structure includes four short double-helical elements and three loops (D, anti-codon, and T loops). RNAcentral also lists the same sequence under 1 other name. Lineage: Bacteria; Pseudomonadati; Campylobacterota; Epsilonproteobacteria; Campylobacterales; Campylobacteraceae. The record is from RNAcentral.
GUAGUUCAGCUGGUUAGAAUGCCGCCCUGUCACGGCGGAGGUCGCGGGUUCGAGCCCCGUC